RNAcentral lists this ribosomal RNA (372 nucleotides) under uncultured organism. Its description in RNAcentral is "bacterial SSU rRNA". It matches the Rfam family "Bacterial small subunit ribosomal RNA", at positions 526 to 896 of the family's 1533-position model. The record is from RNAcentral.
CGUAGGUGGCGAGCGUUGUCCGGAAUUACUGGGUGUAAAGGGCGUGUAGGCGGGGAUGUAAGUCAGAUGUGAAAUUCCCAGGCUCAACUUGGGCGCUGCAUCUGAAACUAUAUCUCUUGAGUGCUGGAGAGGAAAGCGGAAUUCCUAGUGUAGCGGUGAAAUGCGUAGAUAUUAGGAGGAACACCAGUGGCGAAGGCGGCUUUCUGGACAGUAACUGACGCUGAGGCGCGAAAGCGUGGGGAGCAAACAGGAUUAGAUACCCUGGUAGUCCACGCUGCAAACGAUGGAUACUAGGUGUAGGAGGUAUCGACCCCUUCUGUGCCGGAGUUAACACAAUAAGUAUCCCACCUGGGGAGUACGGCCGCAAGGUUG